CAAUAGCGUAUAUUUAAGUUGUUGCAGUUAAAAAGCUCGUAGUUGGAUUUCGGAUGGGAUUUGCCGGUCCGUCGUUACGAUGUGCACUGGCCAGUCCUAUCUUGUUGUCGGGGACUAGCUCCUUGGAUUCACUUCCUGGGACUAGGAGCUGACGAGGUUACUUUGAGUAAAUUAGAGUGUUCAAAGCAAGCCUACGCUCUGAAUACAUUAGCAUGGAACAACACGAUAGGACUCUGGCUUAUCUUGUUGGUCUGUGAGACCAGAGUAAUGAUUAAGAGGGACAGUCGGGGACAUUCGUAUUUCAUUGUCAGAGGUGAAAUUCUUGGAUUUAUGAAAGACGAACUUCUGCGAAAGCAUUUGUCAAGGAUGUUUUCAUUAA
This 379-nucleotide ribosomal RNA is filed under the name uncultured eukaryote. RNAcentral describes it as "partial 18S ribosomal RNA". It matches the Rfam family "Eukaryotic small subunit ribosomal RNA", at positions 592 to 976 of the family's 1831-position model. The record is from RNAcentral.